UUGUCCUGUAAUAAAAAUAUAGAGC
Molecule: non-coding RNA, 25 nt
Filed under: Cricetulus griseus (Chinese hamster)
Lineage: Eukaryota; Metazoa; Chordata; Mammalia; Rodentia; Cricetidae
Source: RNAcentral